UGAGUACGAGCUGCUACGGCAGCGAAGUGGGUGAUGUCAAGCUUCCAAGAAAAGCCCUAUACCCGUUAAGGCAUGACGGCCUGUACCCGAAACCGACACAGGUGGGGUGGUAGAGAAUACCGAGGGGCGCGAGAUAACUCUCUCUAAGGAACUCGGCGAAAUGGCCCCGUAACUUCGGGAGAAGGGGUGCCACCGCAAGGUGGUCGCAGUGAAGAGGCCCAGGCGACUGUUUACCAAAAACACAGGUCUCCGCUAAGUCGCAAGACGAUGUAUGGGGGCUGACGCCUGCCCAGUGCCGGAAGGUUAAGGAAGCUGGUCAGCGCAAGCGAAGCUAGCGACUGAAGCCCCGGUGAACGGCGGCCGUAACUAUAACGGUCCUAAGGUAGCGAAAUUCCUUGUCGGGUAAGUUCCGACCCGCACGAAAGGCGUAACGAUCUGGGCGCUGUCUCGGAGAGAGGCUCGGCGAAAUAGAAUUGUCUGUGAAGAUGCGGACUACGUGCACCCGGACAGAAAGACCCUAUGAAGCUUUACUGUAGCUUGGUAUUGUGCCCGGGCUCUGAAUGCGCAGGAUAGGUGGGAGGCUUUGAUCCAUCGCUUGUGGGUAAUGGUGAGCCAACGGUGAGAUACCACUCUUUCAGAGCUAGGGUUCUAACCCUCACCCGUUAUCCGGGGAGGGGACAGUAUCAGGUGGGCAGUUUGACUGGGGCGGUCGCCUCCUAAAAGGUAACGGAGGCGCGCAAAGGUUUGCUCAGGCUGGUUGGAAAUCAGCCGACGAGUGUAAAAGCAGAAGCAAGCUUGACUGUGAGACCAACAAGUCGAACAGGGACGAAAGUCGGCUUUAGUGAUCCGACGGUUCUGAGUGGAAGGGCCGUCGCUCAACGGAUAAAAGUUACUCUAAGGAUAACAGGCUGAUCUCCCCCAAGAGUUCACAUCGACGGGGAGGUUUGGCACCUCGAUGUCGGCUCAUCGCAACCUGGGGCUGAAGUCGGUCCCAAGGGUUGGGCUGUUCGCCCAUUAAAGCGGUACGCGAGCUGGGUUCAGAACGUCGUGAGACAGUUCGGUCCAUAUCCGGUGCAUGCGUAAGAACAUUGACAGGAGUUCCCCCUAGCACGAGAGGACCGGGAGGAACGCACCCCUGGUGUACCAGUUAUCGUGCCAACGGUAAACGCUGGGUAGCCAUGUGCGGAGAGGAUAACCGCUGAAAGCAUCUAAGUGGGAAGCCCACCUGAAGAUGAGUGUUCUCAUGGA
RNAcentral lists this ribosomal RNA (1248 nucleotides) under metagenome. RNAcentral describes it as "bacterial LSU rRNA". It matches the Rfam family "Bacterial large subunit ribosomal RNA", at positions 1564 to 2820 of the family's 2925-position model. The record is from RNAcentral.